GUACACUCCUGCGGGAGGCAGCAGUGGGGAAUUUUGGACAAUGGGCGAAAGCCUGAUCCAGCAAUGCCGCGUGUGUGAAGAAGGCCUUCGGGUUGUAAAGCACUUUUGUCCGGAAAGAAAUCCUUGGCUCUAAUACAGUCGGGGGAUGACGGUACCGGAAGAAUAAGCACCGGCUAACUACGUGCCAGCAGCCGCGGUAAUACGUAGGGUGCGAGCGUUAAUCGGAAUUACUGGGCGUAAAGCGUGCGCAGGCGGUUUGCUAAGACCGAUGUGAAAUCCCCGGGCUCAACCUGGGAACUGCAUUGGUGACUGGCAGGCUAGAGUAUGGCAGAGGGGGGUAGAAUUCCACGUGUAGCAGUGAAAUGCGUAGAGAUGUGGAGGAAUACCGAUGGCGAAGGCAGCCCCCUGGGCCAAUACUGACGCUCAUGCACGAAAGCGUGGGGAGCAAACAGGAUUAGAAACCCGUGUAGUCCCAUGA
RNAcentral lists this ribosomal RNA (478 nucleotides) under uncultured organism. Its description in RNAcentral is "partial 16S ribosomal RNA". It matches the Rfam family "Bacterial small subunit ribosomal RNA", at positions 331 to 800 of the family's 1533-position model. The record is from RNAcentral.